This 434-nucleotide ribosomal RNA is filed under the name uncultured bacterium. RNAcentral's name for it is "partial 16S ribosomal RNA". It matches the Rfam family "Bacterial small subunit ribosomal RNA", at positions 29 to 507 of the family's 1533-position model. The record is from RNAcentral.
AGCGAACGCUGGCGGCAGGCCUAACACAUGCAAGUCGAACGAACCUUUCGGGGUUAGUGGCGGACGGGUGAGUAACACGUGGGAACGUGCCUUUAGGUUCGGAAUAACUCAGGGAAACUUGUGCUAAUACCGAAUGUGCCCUUCGGGGGAAAGAUUUAUCGCCUCUAGAGCGGCCCGCGUCUGAUUCGCUAGUUGGUUGAGGUAAUGGCUCACCAAGGCGACGUUCAGUAGCUGGUCUGAGAGGAUGAUCAGCCACAUUGGGACUGAGACACGGCCCAAACUCCUACGGGAGGGAGCAGUGGGGAAUCUUGCGCAAUGGGCGAAAGCCUGACGCAGCCAUGCCGCGUGAAUGAUGAAGGUCUUAGGAUUGUAAAAUUCUUUCACCGGGGACGAUAAUGACGGUACCCGGAGAAGAAGCCCCGGCUAACUACGUG